RNAcentral lists this ribosomal RNA (254 nucleotides) under uncultured bacterium. Its description in RNAcentral is "partial 16S ribosomal RNA". It matches the Rfam family "Bacterial small subunit ribosomal RNA", at positions 524 to 776 of the family's 1533-position model. The record is from RNAcentral.
UACGUAGGAGGCGAGCGUUGUCCGGAGUUACUGGGCGUAAAGGGUGCGCAGGCGGCGUUCCGCGUGGCGAGAUGAAAUCUCCUGGCUUACCUGGGAGGGUGGUCGCCAGACGGGAGCGCUUGAGGGUCGGAGAGGGGCGUGGAAUUCCCGGUGUAGCGGUGAAAUGCGUAGAUAUCGGGAGGAACGCCGGUGGCGAAAGCGAUUCUCUGGCCCGUUCCUGACACUGAGGCGCGAAAGCUAGGGGAGCAAACAGG